This 355-nucleotide unclassified non-coding RNA is filed under the name soil metagenome. RNAcentral's name for it is "partial contains 5.8S ribosomal RNA, internal transcribed spacer 2, and large subunit ribosomal RNA". The stretch from base 1 to 120 matches the Rfam family "5.8S ribosomal RNA", at positions 35 to 154 of the family's 154-position model. The record is from RNAcentral.
GAUGAAGAACGUAGUGAAAUGCGAUAAAUAAUAUGAAUUGCAGAAUUCAGCGAAUCAUCGAGUUUUUGAACGCACAUUGCGCCCUCUGGUAUUCCGGAGGGCAUGUCCGACCGAGCGUCGCGUCACCGCUCAAGCCCCCCCGGGGGCUUGGUGUUGGGGCCUCGCGGGUGCUCCGGCCCCGCGGCCCUCAAAUGCAGUGGCGGUCCCCCGUGGGCUUCCCCUAGCGCAGUAAAGCAAUCGCUGUCGCUUCGGGGCCCCGGGGCGGCCUGCCGUAAAACGCACCCCGAUUUUCAAUGGUUGGCCUCGGGUCGGACAAGAUUACCCGCUGAACUUAAGCAUAUCAAUAAGCGGAGGA